GAUGAACGCUGGCGGCGUGCCUAAUACAUGCAAGUCGAGCGAACAGACGAGGAGCUUGCUCCUCUGACGUUAGCGGCGGACGGGUGAGUAACACGUGGAUAACCUACCUAUAAGACUGGGAUAACUUCGGGAAACCGGAGCUAAUACCGGAUAAUAUAUUGAACCGCAUGGUUCAAUAGUGAAAGACGGUUUUGCUGUCACUUAUAGAUGGAUCCGCGCCGCAUUAGCUAGUUGGUAAGGUAACGGCUUACCAAGGCAACGGUGCGUAGCCGACCUGAGAGGGUGAACGGCCACACUGGAACUGAGACACGGUCCAGACUCCUACGGGAGGGAGCAGUAGGGAAUCUUCCGGAAUGGGCGGAAGCCUGACGGAGCAACGCCGCGUGAGUGAUGAAGGUCUUCGGAUCGUAAAACUCUGUUAUUAGGGAAGAACGUAUGUGUAAGUAACUAUGCACGUGCUGACGGUACCUAAUCAGAAAGCAACGGCUAACUACGUG
Molecule: ribosomal RNA, 497 nt
Filed under: uncultured bacterium
Lineage: Bacteria
Description: partial 16S ribosomal RNA
Rfam family: Bacterial small subunit ribosomal RNA
Source: RNAcentral